UACGAAGGGGGCUAGCGUUGUUCGGAUUUACUGGGCGUAAAGCGCACGUAGGCGGAUCUUUAAGUCAGAGGUGAAAUCCCAAGGCUCAACCUUGGAACUGCCUUUGAUACUGGGGAUCUCGAGUUCGGGAGAGGUGAGUGGAACUGCGAGUGUAGAGGUGAAAUUCGUAGAUAUUCGCAAGAACACCAGUGGCGAAGGCGGCUCACUGGCCCGAUACUGACGCUGAGGUGCGGAAAGCGUGGGGAGCAAACAGGG
Molecule: ribosomal RNA, 255 nt
Filed under: uncultured bacterium
Lineage: Bacteria
Description: partial 16S ribosomal RNA
Rfam family: Bacterial small subunit ribosomal RNA
Source: RNAcentral